UUACAGUCAUGAAUUUUGGUUAGCCAUCACUUCUAUACACAUAAUCACCAAAAAAUAUAAAGAAACAACAAAAGAAUUAAAUUUGUGAAACCUAAAAAAUCAACAAUAACUAAGUGUUGCGGUGUGCUGGGUGAGGUAUGCAUAUCAAAAUAUCAAGAAAGUACAAUAAACAGAACGAAAGAUGCAGAUCAAGAUCCCAACAUCAAAACGCUUAUAUCAGGAGAACCAUUUACAUUACCCACUUUUUUCCCCUUUAUAUUUCGUCUUUCCUCCCAUUCAUUCAAAAAGAACAGGCCAAGAUAUAGUUUUUUUUCAAAAAUUAAGAUCAAUCUGUAUAAUAAACCUACUCCUUCUUCCUUGUCAUCCACACAUUCAAUAGCUAUUACCUUCCUGCUCUUCAGAUGGUAGAAGUCAAUAAGGUCAUCUGGCUGUGCAUGAGAAAUCUGAGCCUUUGCCUUUAAUUCCUCAGAUUCCCUUAACUGUUUCUCGGAAAGCAUCUUCACAAAGCUCUGGCGGCAAGACUGCAACCAUAUCUUCCUGAUAUUAUCACCAGUAUUGCAAAGCAAUCUUAUGCACACAACAAUCCUAUCAAAAGAAUCGUUAUCAAUUGGGUGUGGCAGAACUGGAGAUUGUCCUAAUUGCAACAUUGAGACCAUGAUCAGUAAGGCCUGUGAGGAUGCUUUAUUCACUUCAACUCGAGAUGGCUGCACCUCCUCCAAUCUCAAAACAAGCUUUGUCAGUGUGCAAGCCACAACUGCCCCAAGGAAAAAAUCACCAGUGAGAAGAAGGGAUCUUAAAUUUCCAGAAGUCAAUGUUCCCUGAACAAUGGUAGGAGGGGAAAAAGCGGUUUCAGAGGCGGCACUCUGAGUAGCAUAAGUUCCAUCAGCAAGAACAGCUGGUCUCCUGGAAGAAACAGUAGUUGAGCUGGCUUGCUGCUGAACUUUCUUAGAAGAAUCAGUAUCCUCCCCUUCUUCAGAGACUGAGAAAAAUGGCAACUCUCCAAGACACUGCUUAAUGGUUGCUAUGCCAUUCUCAACUUCAGAAAGAGACUGGCAAUACUCUCCAAUGAUCCAAAGAGCGCAAGUGCACACUCGUGCAGCUCUGAUCUGGUAGAAGUUGUCCAAUAAUCUUGUUAUAAUAGAGACCCUCAGUUUAGGAUUCAUUUCAAUUAUUUCUCGAACAAAGAUAAUCACAUCUAUAGCUGAAGCAACAUUGCUGUCUCCCAAGAAAUCCAUCAGCAGAUGGACCACUGUGCUUGCCACCUCAGGGAACUUAAUGGCACAAGAAUGGAUGGCUUGAAUAAGCAUUUGCCUAUACUCACCAUUCUUCUCAAGCUCCCCACUCUGGGUCUUAACAACUUCUUUCUUCAACAUAAGAACUACCUCAUUGAUGUUUCUAGGAGUUAUCAAUUCAAGCACAAUGUCAAGAGUCUUCCUUCGAAUGUCAAGAUUAGGGCUGUUAAGUGCCCUCAGCACAUCCAUGAUCAGAUCAACCAUUAUAUCUCUGUGUGAAGACCUGAGCUCAUUCAGUCGGUCAAGUACAAUAAGCUUGACAUUGUUGUCACUCUGAGAUAGAAGAAGCUGAGAGUAGGUAUUAGCAGCAGCUCUAAUAGCAGUGGGUGCAGAUGACAAAGAGACAAGUGUCCCAGCGCAUUCAUAAAUAACUGCAGUUGAAGGGGCAUUCAACAAUGAUAUAAUAAUCUUGAUAUACUUCCCCUUCUCUCCCUUAUUGGUUCGGCAGACUUUCCGAAUCAACUCCAAUACAACCAUCUGAAGCAAUUCACCCCAUUCAGAAACUCUAUCAACAUGGGUCAACAGGUAAUUAAUUGCUCGAUCCUGAUCACAAGUAAAGAGCAUUAGGAAUGCAUUCCGCUUAGCUGAUGGAUCCUGCUCUGUCGAGAGAACCUUUUCAAUCAUUUCAGGUGCAUCCACCAGAAGCUGCUCACCCUGUGGAAGCUUAUAUAUUGCCAUUACAGCCAAUAUGGCAUUCCUCCGAAUGUACGGGUGUCGAUGUUGCAAAUUUUGCAAAACUGAAGGAAUCAAUGGCUCAAUUAUUUCUGUCUCGUUCAAGCGGCAAAGAAACCUCAAAGUAACCCCACGGAUAUAUUCAUUCGGGUGCUGAAGAUUGUUCCUUAGAUUUUGGCAAAUCAAAAUCAUUUCAGGCAAGACCCUACCUUUAGCAUCUGUUUUGUCGAUGAUCUCCAAAUAUAGAAGCAACAAUUUCUGUAUUGUGUGGUCCUCAGAAGGCAAAACAUAUCUAACAAUUGUGAUAAAAAGCUGGGGCAAUGUUUCACCAUUCAACAAAAGCAUGAUUGCCUUCUUCAUGGCAUCAACUUUUGCAGGCACAUCAUUGCCUUCAAGAGCUUCCUUAAUUUCAUUUGCAAUUGCUGGCGUCCCUUUGUCAAAAUGAAUGAGCAGAGUACAAGACUUCUCCAUUUUUGCAGAUAGUCUUUUCUGUCAUUUAAAAUUCAUGUAAAAAACAAUCCUAUGAAUAACUUGAUACAAAAAGAUCAAAUUUUCCAAGUUACGUGUUCCGUUAUUAUUCUAGAAAAAUCAAAUAAUUCAGCUAAGCAAAAUUAGAACACAAUUAAAUUAUGGAAGAAUUAGACAUCAUCAAUAAUCAUCACAUUAGUCAACCAUCAGUGCAACAGAUGCCAAAAUACAAGAUACAUUUCCAAUCAUAUGAUAAACUGUCCUAGUGUUCAUUUUCCAAUAACACAACAAUUCUAUUAUCUGCUCUCCAUAUCAAUCUCAGUGUGCAUGUGCAUGUGCUUUAGAAAGCGGAGACUAAGGAAAAUUUUUAGACCAGACCUCACACAAAAUCCUAUCCACCUCCCUUGUGAUUUCAAAUAACUAGAGAAAAACAGAAAUGAAACAAGUCUUAAUCCAGCCCUAAUCAGCAUUAAAAGGAUAAGUUACAAGUUAAACAGGCAUUAAAUGCAUAUGCCUCAACCAGAUCAGAUCUAACAUUGAAAUUUAAAGAUAAUUCAACAAUUCGGGCUAAGUAAAAACAUAUUAAACACACACACAAAAUACGACAAUGAUUAGCUACAUCAAGAUCUCAUAGUUGCUAAUAGUCCUAUCAAAAGCUAUAACUGAAUUCUCUCAAUUCACAUCACGAAUCGAAAAUCUACAUGCUAGAUUAACAAUUUCAACUUCAAAGAAAAAAAAAAAAAAUCAGUUCAAGCGCCUGUAGAAUGUAGAAGCAUGACAUAGAAGCGUAACAUUACCUGGAGUUAGAUAAGAAAAAUGAAACACCAUGAAUAACCAAAAUCGAACGAGAAAAUUAACAAAUGUUCAGUUUGGCUGCCGAGAAAAUGAAUCAACAAAUCCACAGGAUCUAAGAAAAUAGAGAGAGAAAGAAACGAACCUCUUGUGAUGAGCGUUGAGUGAAAUUGAUGAUUUAGAUGUCAGAUCUUAAAUGCUCAUUUGUUGUUAAUUGUUCAAAAUACAAACGACUGAGUGAGGACCAUUGCAGAUCUUUAGAUCUGCUCUCAGUUUAUAUGUGGGAGAGAGAACAGGCGAUUGAAGCAUUGAAAGUUAACCCGCAAGGGUCUUUUUGUCAUUCGCUUUUCUCUUUUCUUUUUUUUUUAUUAAAUUAAAUUGUUCCGUUUAAAAAAAACAUUGAAAUCCUUUAUAUAAACAGAAUAACAGAUGAUAAUUGUUGUGAUAAAUUUAAAUAAAUUACCAAAAUUGUUUUAAAAAAAAUGAUGUGGUCACUUAGGCCAUUGAUCAGGAGAUGAGAUAAAAGAUUAUUCUCCUAUAUGAAAUAAAUGUUUGAUUUAUCGUGUCUAAUAUAUAUUGAGUUGUUGUAAAAUUGUAAUAACAAUAUAUUGUGUUAUGAAUUUUAUUUUUAUUUUUUUCCCAAAACUAAUGGUGUUUCACUAGAAGUAAAUAAUUGGAAUUGAUGAGGGAUAAGGGGUUAAAAAAUUAUCUUAGACAAAUUUCUAUUCUUACCUUUCUGAAAAAUUACUCUCAGUGACAAAAUUCUAAUGGAAAUGAUAUUUUACUAACAAAAGACUUAAAAGAGCCAUUUUGAUUUCUUAAACGUCAAAAGUAAAACCAUAUUCGGUCUUCAAAAGUUAUGCUAAGAGGAAGUUAGCGACAAAGUCCGACUCGCGAUAAGAAGGGGGUUGAUCGGGUUCGCCCCGAUAAACGGUAGACGGACUUGAAAGCCCAGUUAAUACGGGCCUAAUGUAGCGAUAGAAGAUUUGCCAUGAAAGGGACAAGGAAGUCAAUAAUCGAAUGCUGAAAUGAUACCGUGAUCCAAAUUCUCGGUUAUGGACUGUGAAUUCGUGGCGUCGCAAGUUGGUUUUUCCUUUUAGCAAAAAUUGCUCAAUUUUGAUUGAAGAUCUGAUCUUGCUGAGGCAUCAUUUUUUUUUCAAGCGAAAUAAAUGCACACACACAUGAUAUAAAUGCUUUUCGUAAAGCAAAAUGAUGUAGAAAUCACAGAAAAAUCUUGUUCUAGUGUUGAGCAAUUUCGAUCAUCAUCAUUCGGUUGCCUUUCACAGUACAAUCUAUAUGAUUCAAUUAUUUACAGAUGUCACUUCCUAAAUGCCGUAGAUACAAACUGAACAAGAAAGGUGGGAUGGGCAAUCUUCUUAUUUGUCGGCAAAGCACCUGCGUCGGUUCAAGUUCAAUGAAUCAGUAAUUAGAAUACAAAUUAACAAAACUUGCCCCCCCCCCCCCCAAAAAAAAAAAAANNNNNNNNNNNNNNNNNNNNNNNNNNNNNNNNNNNNNNNNNNNNNNNNNNNNNNNNNNNNNNNNNUGCCCCCCCCCCCCCAAAAAAAAAAAAAAGCACACCAGUUUUUUCUGGGUAUUGAUAUUGUUCUUCCACCUCAAUUGCCUCCCUUUCCCUUCUGCUUGAGAGAGAUCUUAUUGCUGAGACCAAGUGCUAUGCCUUGGCUCUUGCUCUUUAUUUUGAUGCUGCCACCGAGUCUGCCGUUGUUCUUUUUCUCAAUGCUUACAUUUACCAAUGCAUCCUCACCGAACACACUCUUGGCAUAUAAGUUUGCGGUCAGAAAUCCACAGUUACCAUCUAGUCUGCAGUUCAAAUCAAGCCAAAACAACCAGUCGAAAGAAUCAGAAUAAUUAUUGUGAGAGAACCAUUCGCAUGCAUUAAAACCUGGAUGUCUCCUGAGAACUUGGAAGACAGGUCCACCUGCUACUAUGUUGCGACGAUGUAUUAAAAAAGUUUUGCAAGUGCAAAAUACACUUGUAGAUUUAUGAAUCGUACACAUUGUUCUCCAAAAGACUACAACAUAGAAAUGUGAACUAUAAGGUAAGGUAAGGUGAUAGGAUGUUGUUAAACUAUUGACUCGAUUGACUGUUAAUUUAACUGCACAUAUAUUCCCAUUGUUUCUAAGUCCACAUUGCACAGAGAACAAGCACCCAUUUCAGUUAUCAUUCAAGAGAUUUGUUUUGAGAUAGAUCCAACUUACGGUGCAGUCAGGCACUUCAUGUUGGUUAAUUUGAUUAUGUGAUCCAGAAAUUCCUUUUCAUCUUGAAUUUCCGUGUCAACAUCAACCUGCAGCGCCGAAGACAGAUGAAAAUUAAACUAGAAGUGUCAACUCAGCACCACCACCAAGACCAAGAGAGAUAAGUAAUCAGUCGCGGGAAUUAAAGGAAUUAAACAACUAAUUCAGAGUACAAGCAAGAAAAACUGAUGGCAUCAGGUUAAAAACGUCAUAUGGUGUUACAGUCACCGUUAACGUUAGUAGCAGAUACCUUGCGUUUCCACUCGAGCUCAGCCCACAGGGUUCUAAAAGCUUCAUCUGUACAAACUGCAGGAGACAUAUAGUCCCCGACGUCGAAGCAAAUUUCACUAAGAACAACUGUUUUCUCCCCAUUUGAAGUCCCGUACACCACAUGACCGCAUAUUACUCCGGUGUCAGUUGAGACCACCAUGAGUUUAACCUUUAUUUCCAUGUUUGAUUCAGGUGCUAAAGUGUUAUUCUGGGGAUCCUCAACAGGUUUAAGCUCAACAAUUUCAAGGCCACCCUUGAUAAUCAACUCCAUGACAAAAUUCUGGAGGGUUUGCUUGGUGCGGUUGAUAAUUGUAAUGUCAAGGACAAUAUCAUGGCGGUGAACAGUAACAAAGGCUUCAGCAUAUACAGGGUCACUAAAUCCAGUGAGUUGAUGAAUACGGCGGUUAAGCUUAUUUACACCAUCUCCAUCCUUGAUGAACUCUCCAGUUUCAAGUUUUUCAUCGUCUGGCGUCAUAUCUUCUAACUCAAGCUGACUCCUCCCCUGGAAGUUUCCGGUUGGGAAUUUUGAUUAACUAUCGCAUUUAUACAUAUAAUCACAAGAAAAUCAGGAUAUUUUGCACCUCAUAUUCCAAGUCAAGCUGACUCAAGAACUGGAUGUUUACCGUCUUGAUUAUUGAAUACCUCACAUUUUUACAUAAUAAUCACUAACAAAUAUAAAGAACCACAAAAGAACUAAAAUUGAGAAGUAUGGAAAAUUAACAAUAACUAACAGGUAAGCAAAGCUAAGUGAAGUAUCAAGUUUGUACCGAAAAGGAUCUAAUAAGUGGAUAAAAUCCUAAUGUCAAAGCAUAUAUCAGGUAAACCAUUUACAUGCAUGAACAGCAGGGCAAGAAAAAGUGUAGUUUUACAAAUUAAGAUAAACCCGAAUGACAAACCGUAGCUCUUUCCUUGUCAUCCACAAUGAAUAGCCAUUACCUUCAUGGUCUUUAGACUGUCAAAGUGAAUAAGGUCAUCUGGCUGUGCAUGAGAAAUCUGAGCCU
This 6747-nucleotide long non-coding RNA is filed under the name Citrus sinensis (sweet orange). Its description in RNAcentral is "long non-coding RNA (CSIN_LNC002834)". Lineage: Eukaryota; Viridiplantae; Streptophyta; Magnoliopsida; Sapindales; Rutaceae. The record is from RNAcentral.